AACGCCGUUUUUUAAAACUUUGGCAAAUGGGAAAGUCUACCAACUAGUUUUGGGAAACAGAAAACUGUAUUGAGAUCAAAUGUUUAAUCAAUGAGAAAAUUAGCAGAAUGUCGGACAAAAACCAUUUAGCUCCAUCUUCUCCCAUUGCCGGCCACUGGGCUUCCUCUAACCCUACACCCAUUAAAACAUCACCACUAUUCCACCACUUUGUCCCUAUCUGAUCCUUCACCAGGCCGGCAGCCUGGGAGGAUGGGACACUAUGGUUCGAAACAUCUAUAUACAUCUAACAUCUAAACAUCUAAGUAUUCUGCAGUAAAAUCUAGUACACCCAAGUGCUUCUCCGCAGAUGCUACAUCUAUUUUCUGGAGAAGCCCCUGAAGGAGUGUGCAGUUCGGGGCUCAAUGUGGGCAAACGCGUUUAACCCGAAACCUUCCCGUCUCCUUCAAGGUCACGACAAGUUGAGGUGCAAUGUCAACAAAAGCGAAUCUUAAUCGAACCUAACCUACAUGGAUAAAAACAUAAACCAUGGAAAGACACGUUAGUAUGUUAUUGGAGGGCGAAAGUCCCAAAAUUAAAAAAUGCAUCAGCAGUCAAGUUCAUCACUGCCCCUUCUACACAUAUAAGGCUGAACAAUAUAUGGUCAACAACCACAUCAAAGGUCAACAACCACAUCAAAGGUCAAGCUUCAGUGAGGCACAGAGAGUUCACGAUCAUAACGUGUGGCUUCAGUUGUUGAAAUGCGACACACUUUCAUUGUUGCUAUUGCUACGGCAACAAUAAUCAACAGAGCACAGUUUCUGAAGCACCUGACAUACCAUCAGCAUCCAGUGGCCCCUCAAGAGCACCCAGAGGCCCUUAAACAGUGGCCAGUGGCCCCUCAAGAGCACCCAGAGGCCCUUAAACAGUGGCCCCUUAAGAGCUCCCAAAGGCCCUUAAACAGUCCCCAGAGGCCCCUUAAGAGCACCCAGAGGGACUGUGUUAUGUGUUAUGUUGUUUAGUAAAGAUGACAUAGAAGUCACCCUCUACCCCUGGACAGAAGAAACACAGAAAAUGAUCACAAGUCCACUUCGAGCUACCUUCAUCGAUUUAACAGUACCCAGGUCUCCUCCUCAUCAUCUAUCUUCGCUCAAAAAAAGGCUACUGAAGUACGUUAUUCCUAUCACUCUAUAUUGGCCUCAGCCACAGAUGAUAUAUUAUAUUGACCAGAUACUCAAGUCUAACAAUGAAAAUAAAUGUCUUCAAAAAUGGAAGGUAGUCCGGAGGUAAGAUCAGGUGAGACCAUUCUAGCCAAUGAGACGGCAGAUACACAUGAUUAAAAAUGUAAUGUGGACGACACACAGUUGUACAUUUCGAUGAAACAUGGUGAAGGCACAAAAUGUCCUACCCUGGAAGCCUGUGUUUCAUGCAUAAGGAAGUGGAUAGCGACGAAUGGUUUACUUUUAAACUCGGACAAAACAGAGAUGCUAGUUCAAGGUCCCAGGAAACAAAGAGAUCUUCUGUUGGAUCUGACAAUUAAUCUUGAUGGUUGUACAGUCGUCUCAAAUAAAACUGUGAAGGAACUUGGCGU
Oncorhynchus kisutch (coho salmon) is the source of this 1567-nucleotide long non-coding RNA. RefSeq lists it as uncharacterized. The transcript has 3 exons. NCBI's taxonomy places the organism in Eukaryota, Metazoa, Chordata, Actinopteri, Salmoniformes, Salmonidae. The record is from RefSeq and is a predicted model, not a curated record.